RNAcentral lists this ribosomal RNA (325 nucleotides) under uncultured eukaryote. Its description in RNAcentral is "partial 18S ribosomal RNA". It matches the Rfam family "Eukaryotic small subunit ribosomal RNA", at positions 1470 to 1796 of the family's 1831-position model. The record is from RNAcentral.
CCCUUAGAUGUCCUGGGCCGCUCGCGCGCUACACUGAUGCAUUCAACGAGUAUUUCCUUGGCCGAGAGGCCUGGGCAAUCUUUUAAACCUGCAUCGUGAUAGGGAUAGAUUAUUGCAAUUAUUAAUCUUGAACGAGGAAUUCCUAGUAAACGCAAAUCAUCAAUUUGCAUUGAUUACGUCCCUGCCCUUUGUACACACCGCCCGUCGCACCUACCGAUUGAAUGGUCCGGUGAAAUCUCGGGAUUGUGGCCAGUUCACUUUAUUGGGAGUUGGCUGCGAGAACUUGCUUAAACCUUAUCAUUUAGAGGAAGGUGAAGUCGUAACA